CGCUCACUUUUGUAGUAGAACAUGCUUUCUAAAGUAGAAGAAACAAAUCUGUAUUUGUUGCUGUAUACCCAAAUACGAAUAUAUGACCGCCAUGUACACUAGUUCAUUUUCUAUUUGAAAUAUAGCUCAAGAAGCUUCUUCAAAGUUUCAAACACACUAGUGAAGGGGUCAAGUUCAGUAGGUGCCUUUAGUUCUAGGUCAGGGAAUUGAUUUGUUAACGCCUGUUGCAUCCCAGGCAUAGACAUCAUUGCAGCUAACUGGCUGUUAGACAUAACUUCACAAUCUUGUGGGGUGUCCUUGAUUUUGCUCGGAUCAUAUCCGAAGUUUGCCAAGUAAGAUUUGUAUUUCUCUAUGAAUUCAGGUCCAGGAUCAGGUUUCCUUGAAUAUAUCUGAAACAUUUAUGCCAAAACAUAUUAGAUUCUAGUUAUGGCUGCCGCAUCCCUGAGAUAUAAUGAUAUUUGCGAACGGCAAAGAGCAUUUUCUCAUAGUUCCUAAACUUCAGUAUGUCGAUCACUAAGACAAAUUAUUGUUUACCAAUGGCAAGACUUAGAUAUGACCAAUGGGGAUGCCAUGGUUAUGGCAACGGCAAUACAUAAAAUGGUUGCAUCUAUAAUCAGAGCCACUUGCUCCUAAAUCUUCAGCUUCAGCUUAGUAGUUGAAGUGGACAAGGUAAUCUCCUGCUACUAACAUCAAUGACAAUAAGUGACCUCUUGAUGCAAUUUUUGUUUUUAGCUGAAUAUUAUUGUACUUCAUGAACCACGUAAACUCAGAAUCUAUAAUAUCCCAGAACCCAGAUAUUAUAUAGUUGAUCUUCUUCAAAUCUGUCAUUACCUGAACAAAACUUUUGUCCUUUGCUCCAGAGACGAGAGAAAAGUUAUCAUAAUCAGUAGCAAUCACAUCAUAAGGCUCCUUUGGGAUGAAUGGCAAUGUUGGAAAGCGAAGGUAACACUUCUCUUUAAUCAUCUCUUGCUUUUCUAGCUGAGUCUCAUUCUUCUCCAAAUCUUCCUCUGCCAAGCAUUGAACCUUUCCCCUUAUGCCAGUAAUAUAUCCAUUAGGGCCUCCAUGAACACAAAAAGUGUCUACUUGAAUAGCUAAUGCCUGCAUAUCAAAUGUAUACACGCCCUGCUAGUUAUAAAUUAACUAGUCAGACGUCACCUAUUUGAAGGCAUAAAGUUGUGAGAGAGAAUCUAGAUUAAAUAAAUAUGAGGAACAGCCGAGAUAUGUUUUAGACUGGGACAGUAUUAUAGUUUUCCACAUUCUCCCCAGGAGACCAAUCAAUGAACUGCAACUACUUUCGACAGCCUAAUGUAUAUAAAACAUAUACAAAGCAUCGUCUGACAUUGCCUAUCACACAGCUUUAAAACUUUAAUGCAAGGUAUACAAUGUUAAUGAAAGUUGAGAAAUUUUGUUUCCAUUCAGCAAGUGAAGCAGUUCAAAAGGAUGAAUAUAUUCAUUAAAACUAUAUACCACACAUAUCCCUAGCAUUUACCAGGGUACAAUGGCAGUCUUCUUGACCUUGUCCAGCAAAUCCACGUUUGAGAGAAGCUACUUCAAACCACCUUCCAGAAUAUCUGACUGGAUCAAAAUCUUUAGCUGUCAUACCUCUCAUCAUCAUUAGCUUGCCACUUCUCUCAUCAGAGCUCUCAUCAAGUGGAAGGGUUACUUUAUUGUCUGCAGCACUUGCAAGCUGAUUUGUUUGGGAGAGAAAAAUUAAAGAGGAAGCAAGCCCGGAUAGCACACGUCUAACCACAACCUUACUUGAGAUAGGAUUCUCAGGUAAGCAUUUUGAGAACAUUUUUCCAGGCUCUCUCCUGUAACUGAGCAUCUUAGGAGGAAAGGAGGAGCACCAUUGAAGCAGAGGUGGCGAAGUUUGAUGAUAGAUAAAAUUGAUAGCAUUCACCAUUGCUUCCUUCUCAACACUGCCCUGGCUCUCUCUGCUCUAUCUCCUUUUCUGGGUUAGGGGACACUGAGUGAUCACUCGCUAGUCAAUUGAUUCGUACCCACUGUCGCAGGGCACUACAAAUAUCCUUUCAACGUCACCGUUGAACUUAUCCA
RNAcentral lists this unclassified non-coding RNA (2055 nucleotides) under Hevea brasiliensis (rubber tree). Lineage: Eukaryota; Viridiplantae; Streptophyta; Magnoliopsida; Malpighiales; Euphorbiaceae. The record is from RNAcentral.